CAUGGCUCAGGACGAACGCUGGCGGCGUGCCUAAUACAUGCAAGUAGAACGCUGAAGGAGGAGCUUGCUUCUCCGGAUGAGUUGCGAACGGGUGAGUAACGCGUAGGUAACCUGCCUGGUAGCGGGGGAUAACUAUUGGAAACGAUAGCUAAUACCGCAUAAGAGUAGAUGUUGCAUGACAUUUGCUUAAAAGGUGCAAUUGCAUCACUACCAGAUGGACCUGCGUUGUAUUAGCUAGUUGGUGGGGUAACGGCUCACCAAGGCGACGAUACAUAGCCGACCUGGGAGGGUGAUCGGCCACACUGGGACUUAGGCCCGGCCCCAGCUCCUUCCG
RNAcentral lists this ribosomal RNA (334 nucleotides) under uncultured bacterium. RNAcentral describes it as "bacterial SSU rRNA". It matches the Rfam family "Bacterial small subunit ribosomal RNA", at positions 18 to 344 of the family's 1533-position model. The record is from RNAcentral.